This 69-nucleotide transfer RNA is filed under the name Marmota monax (woodchuck). It matches the Rfam family "tRNA". From Rfam's summary of the family: Transfer RNA (tRNA) molecules are approximately 80 nucleotides in length. Their secondary structure includes four short double-helical elements and three loops (D, anti-codon, and T loops). The record is from Rfam by way of RNAcentral. Lineage: Eukaryota; Metazoa; Chordata; Mammalia; Rodentia; Sciuridae.
GGGGUUGUGGCUCAGUGGUAGAGUACUUGCCUACCAUGUAUGAUACAUUGUGUUCGAUCCUCAGCACCA